UUUUUUCCCUUUUCCCUACAGAUAUUUUCCUUCCUACUCCAGAUAGUUUACUUGUAAAUCUCCAUGAAAUCAAAGAGCUGAUAAAAGAUCUACUGAAUGCAUUUCCAAAUAUGUUCAGCAAUACAAGAGAAACACACAGCGCGUUGGGCCCUGCUCUUCAAGCUGCAUUUAAACUGAUGUCUCCAACAGGAGGUCGGGUAUCUGUGUUUCAAACACAGUUACCAUCCUUGGGUGCAGGGCUUUUGCAUUCCAGAGAAGAUCCCAAUCAAAGGUCAAGCACAAAAGUAUAAAAAAUUCAUUAAUUAUUCCUCUCAGGAGCCUAGGGACUGGACGUUUCUGCCUUGCAUUGUCUACAGACCAACUCUUGUGCUUUGUUUAUAGCAAUUUGCUAACUUUUAAAUAUUCAGUGUCUGUGCAUGUAUGAUCACUAAUUUAUAUAUGCAUGUAUUUCUCAACAGCAAAGCCUUUUUUUUUUCUUGUCAGCGAAAAAAAUCUGCAAGUAUCUUUUGACUCUUGACUCAACCUUGGUUGAUUUAUUAUCAACCAAGGCUUUGAAUAUAUAUAUAUAUAUAUAUCAUGUAUAUAUGAAACUGUACGCCUAAAACACGAUUUCUUAUUAUUUUUGGCAUUGUCAAUAGAGUACCUAGUAAAUGUUAGAGUUAUGCGAAUGUUUAUUUGUAUGAGAGUGUAAACUUUUUGGAAGGGAGUAUUAAACCUGCUUGUAAAGAUGAUCUGAAAGAACGUGCAACAUGAACUAAUUUCUGCAGGUAUUUUGAAAUGCCUAUAAAAUGUUGCUUAAAUGAAA
Long non-coding RNA from Oxyura jamaicensis (ruddy duck), 805 nucleotides. RefSeq lists it as uncharacterized. Lineage: Eukaryota; Metazoa; Chordata; Aves; Anseriformes; Anatidae. The record is from RefSeq and is a predicted model, not a curated record. The transcript has 2 exons.